This 375-nucleotide ribosomal RNA is filed under the name uncultured organism. Its description in RNAcentral is "partial 16S ribosomal RNA". It matches the Rfam family "Bacterial small subunit ribosomal RNA", at positions 527 to 896 of the family's 1533-position model. The record is from RNAcentral.
GUAGGUGGCAAGCGUUGUCCGGAAUUAUUGGGCGUAAAGCGCGCGCAGGUGGUUCUUUAAGUCUGAUGUGAAAGCCCCCGGCUCAACCGGGGAGGGUCAUUGGAGACUGGGGAACUUGAGUGCAGGAGAGGAAAGUGGAAUUCCACGUGUAGCGGUGAAAUGCGUAGAUAUGUGGAGGAACACCAGUGGCGAAGGCGACUUUCUGGCCUGUAACUGACACUGAGGCGCGGAAGCGUGGGGAGCAAACAGGGAUUAGAUACCCUGGUAGUCCACGCCGUAAACGAUGAGUGCUAAGUGUUGGGGGGGGUUUCCGCCCCCGUCAGUGCUGCAGCUAACGCAUUAAGCACUCCGCCUGGGAGUACGGUCGCAAGACUG